Molecule: long non-coding RNA, 827 nt
Organism: Eufriesea mexicana
Lineage: Eukaryota; Metazoa; Arthropoda; Insecta; Hymenoptera; Apidae
Exons: 4
Source: RefSeq, a predicted model, not a curated record
AUUCAGAUACAUCUUUCAUUUUUUGGCAUAUUUGUAAUUUAAUACUAUAUCAUUGUAUUCUGUACAACGACGUUCUUAUACGAAAAAUGAUAAGCUUUAAGUACAAGCGUCAGAGACUAAAAGGAAAAAGGUUCGGAUAUAACAGGAUACUAAAACCAAUUUGACAUAAUACCGCAAAAGCUUCAUUUUCAAUGACGAUAUAGAAAAAGGCCAAGGCACGUAGCGACUACAGUGGCAGACGCACUGGCAUAAUACAUCAAGACAGGCAACGUGUACGUUGCCUCACUCUAACCGAUGAGACUCGACGUGGUGGUAAUUCAGUCAACCGGCGCAGACACGACUUACUUUGAGAAAACACAAAAGUUGCGUGCAAUUAUUGGGUUGCAUAAAGAUACAUGGCCCAUAAACAACGCUUUUAAAGACUCUUCACGGAACCGAAAAAAAUAAUUUUCUCUGCGAUCAGUGAAGCGUGAUCUCGGAAGGGCCCUGUGUCCGGAGGGUUCCUUGUCUUUAAUCAAUAACAAAAGGGUUGGUGUACGGGGAGUGAGCAGGAAAUUGCAUCGUCGAAAGGAGCCGACAUGAGCGGCCAAGUGGCCGCGGUUGGAAACGGUCUUUAACAAUUUCCGAUCAUUUUCCCGCGCCUAUAACUGUAGACCCUCUCCACCCUCCGCCGCAGUUCCCCAUCAUGAAACGUCGCCGCUCGAACGCGGUGAAACGUGAGCUGAGCAAAUCGGUGGAAUUUACGCCAUCUCUCUAACCACCAAGCUCGAGUGACCGACUGGAGAACGAAGAAAGAACAAAACCAGCUAAAGAGGAUACCUCGAGGA